Molecule: ribosomal RNA, 506 nt
Filed under: uncultured bacterium
Lineage: Bacteria
Description: partial 16S ribosomal RNA
Rfam family: Bacterial small subunit ribosomal RNA
Source: RNAcentral
AGUGAACGCUGGCGGUAGGCCUAACACAUGCAAGUCGAACGGCAGCACAGGAGAGCUUGCUCUCUGGGUGGCGAGUGGCGGACGGGUGAGGAAUACAUCGGAAUCUACUUUUUCGUGGGGGAUAACGUAGGGAGACUUACGCUAAUACCUCAUACGACCUACGGGUCAAAGCAGGGGAUCUUCGGACCUUGCGCGAUUGAAUGAGCCGAUGUCGGAUUAGCUAGUUGGCGGGGUAAAGGCCCACCAAGGCGACGAUCCGUAGCUGGUCUGAGAGGAUGAUCAGCCACACUGGAACUGAGACACGGUCCAGACUCCUACGGGAGGCAGCAGUGGGGAAUAUUGGACAAUGGGCGCAAGCCUGAUCCAGCCAUACCGCGUGGGUGAAGAAGGCCUUCGGGUUGUAAAGCCCUUUUGUUGGGAAAGAAAUCCAGCUGGUUAAUACCCGGUUGGGAUGACGGUACCCAAAGAAUAAGCACCGGCUAACUUCGUGCCAGCCGCCGCAGUAA